Molecule: ribosomal RNA, 141 nt
Filed under: uncultured bacterium
Lineage: Bacteria
Description: partial 16S ribosomal RNA
Rfam family: Bacterial small subunit ribosomal RNA
Source: RNAcentral
UGGGGAAUAUUGCACAAUGGGGGAAACCCUGAUGCAGCGACGCCGCGUGAGCGAAGAAGUAUUUCGGUAUGUAAAGCUCUAUCAGCAGGGAAAGAAAAAAAUGACGGUACCUGAGUAAGAAGCACCGGCUAAAUACGUGCC